Molecule: long non-coding RNA, 1063 nt
Filed under: Daucus carota (carrot)
Lineage: Eukaryota; Viridiplantae; Streptophyta; Magnoliopsida; Apiales; Apiaceae
Description: long non-coding RNA (DCAR_LNC002613)
Source: RNAcentral
GAUGAUAUUGGCAGUAAAUGGACACAUGAACAGACCGAAAGCUUGACUUCAAUCUUUUGAAUUGGGAUUACAUGUUCAGAGGAAGCCCCUGCACAGAGAAUGAAUAUGAAACAAGUUGCAGUACAUCUGAAAUCCUUAAAAAGUGUUAUAAACUUCAGUUUUGAAUGUACUGAAGUUCAUAUGCUAAAGGUUGUAAUUUCUUCCUGGGUAGAUGGUAUAGCCACAUUGAUUGCCACUUGGUGAUCAAUUUGGCUACCGCAACGUGUGACUUACCAUACCGUCCAAACUAUGCUGCAUCUUUAAAUAGAUAGAAUCAGGUUAUAUAAUUUUUUACAAUUCAAAGAAUGACAAGUAUGAUUUUUUAUUAUUUACCACCAUAUUAUAUAAAAACAAUGUCUAGAUAAAAAUAUAAUAGAAACAUAGAGUUUUAUUUUAUUAUUUAUAUACAUAUUAAUAUAUUAUAUAAAAAUGAUAUCAAGAGAAAUAACACAACUAAAUCAUAGCUAAAACAUGCCCGUGCCUCGCACGGGCUAUAAAGCUAGUAUUAAGAAUUGAGAAUCAACGUGUUUCAUGUGUUUCAAUCGAUAUUCAAUUUUGAUUUCUCAUGAUCGAUAGAUGUAACUAAAUUUUGCAUGUAUAUUACAUAAUUUCAAAAAUUAAAAAAAAGUAUUAAAAUAUAUGCUUUCAAAUGUAAAUUUUCGUGUAAUAGCAUAUUAAUAUAGUUGAAACAGGAAUUUUAGUAAAUUUUUUGAGUAGGAUGGGUUAAAUUUCAGAAGGGGUUUAUAUAUAGAAGAUUUUAAAUUGUACUUAAAAAAGAAAUUAUAAGAGUCGGAGUACUGGCCUUGAACACCUCUUCCAGAUCCGCCGCUGCCUCCCUCGUCUUCUGUACAGCUGUAUAGCUUUGCCAUACCGCGGAAGCUGUUGGGAAAUUCGUUUGUAUCCCAAACUAAUUCAUUUAUGUCAACGUUCUAGACUUGCGUUUUUUUUCAUUUGCUCUGUUUACAAUAAUGUAAUAGUGCAAUGGUUUGUCACAUGACAAGGACUAUCUGUGCUCUGAUGGAAA